UGAGGAAUAUUGGUCAAUGGACGAGAGUCUGAACCAGCCAAGUAGCGUGAAGGAUGAAGGCUCUAUGGGUCGUAAACUUCUUUUAUAUGGGAAUAAAGUGAGCCACGUGUGGCUUUUUGUAUGUACCAUAUGAAUAAGGACCGGCUAACUCCGUGCCAGCAGCCGCGGUAAUACGGAGGGUGCAAGCGUUGUCCGGAAUCAUUGGGCGUAAAGAGUUCGUAGGUGGUAUGUUAAGUCUGGUGUUAAAGCCCGAAGCUCAACUUCGGUUCGGCACUGGAUACUGGCAAACUUGAAUGUGGUAGAGGUAAAGGGAAUUCCUGGUGUAGCGGUGAAAUGCGUAGAUAUCAGGAGGAACAUCGGUGGCGUAAGCGCUUUACUGGGCCAUAAUUGACACUGGGGAACGAAAGCCGGGGUAGCAAAUG
Molecule: ribosomal RNA, 422 nt
Filed under: uncultured bacterium
Lineage: Bacteria
Description: bacterial SSU rRNA
Rfam family: Bacterial small subunit ribosomal RNA
Source: RNAcentral